CCUACGGGUGGCUGCAGUGGGGAAUAUUGGACAAUGGGCGAAAGCCUGAUUCAGCCAUGCCGCGUGUGUGAAGAAGGCCUUCGGGUUGUAAAGCACUUUCAGUGGGGAAGAAAGCCUUGGGGCUAAUACCCUCGAGGAAGGACAUCACCCACAGAAGAAGCACCGGCUAACUCCGUGCCAGCAGCCGCGGUAAUACGGAGGGUGCGAGCGUUAAUCGGAAUUACUGGGCGUAAAGCGCGCGUAGGCGGUCUGAUAAGCCGGUUGUGAAAGCCCCGGGCUCAACCUGGGAACGGCAUCCGGAACUGUCAGGCUAGAGUGCAGGAGAGGAAGGUAGAAUUCCCGGUGUAGCGGUGAAAUGCGUAGAGAUCGGGAGGAAUACCAGUGGCGAAGGCGGCCUUCUGGACUGACACUGACGCUGAGGUGCGAAAGCGUGGGUAGCAAACAGGAUUAGAUACCCUGGUAGUC
Molecule: ribosomal RNA, 465 nt
Filed under: Vreelandella stevensii
Lineage: Bacteria; Pseudomonadati; Pseudomonadota; Gammaproteobacteria; Oceanospirillales; Halomonadaceae
Description: partial 16S ribosomal RNA
Rfam family: Bacterial small subunit ribosomal RNA
Source: RNAcentral